Molecule: ribosomal RNA, 98 nt
Filed under: Gloeomyces dextrinoideocerussatus
Lineage: Eukaryota; Fungi; Basidiomycota; Agaricomycetes; Russulales; Stereaceae
Description: Aleurodiscus dextrinoideocerussatus partial 5.8S ribosomal RNA
Rfam family: 5.8S ribosomal RNA
About the family: 5.8S ribosomal RNA (5.8S rRNA) is a component of the large subunit of the eukaryotic ribosome.
Source: RNAcentral
UAAGUAAUGUGAUUGCAGAAUUCAGUGAAUCAUCGAAUCUUUGAACGCACCUUGCGCCCUUUGGUAUUCCGAAGGGCACACCUGUUUGAGUGUCGUGA